UUUUUUUUUUAAUUUUUUGUUUCAUGUCUUUUAUUUGAACUUGCUCUAUGGUAAAAGGAUUUACACAGUAUUUAAAAAAAAUAAAUAAAAUAUAUUUGUAAUAAGCAAUAGCUGGAUGGAGUCUCACUCUAUGGAAAUGUUGAAGAAGAAAUCCUAUGCAAUUUGUUUAUAAUGCCUGGUAAUUUAUUUUCAAUGUAUAAUGUCUCGAUCAAGCUACUCAGCGCUACAAUCUACAGUACCUAAGUCUGUCUUUGUGACGCUUGAAGACGUCCUAUUGAAUAAAGAGUCAUUGAGCGUGGAGAA
Non-coding RNA from Biomphalaria pfeifferi, 303 nucleotides. The record is from the annotation of a GenBank genome assembly. NCBI's taxonomy places the organism in Eukaryota, Metazoa, Mollusca, Gastropoda, Planorbidae.